Molecule: microRNA precursor, 102 nt
Filed under: Marmota monax (woodchuck)
Lineage: Eukaryota; Metazoa; Chordata; Mammalia; Rodentia; Sciuridae
Source: RNAcentral
AGUGGAAUAGCUGGGUCAAAUGGUGGUUCCAUUCCCUGUUUUCCAAGGAUUCUCCAUACUGCUUUUCAUGUUGGCUGCACCAAUUGCAGUCCCAUCAGCAAU